RNAcentral lists this long non-coding RNA (578 nucleotides) under Homo sapiens (human). RNAcentral's name for it is "non-protein coding lnc-PABPC4-1:5". Lineage: Eukaryota; Metazoa; Chordata; Mammalia; Primates; Hominidae. The record is from RNAcentral.
CCGCCGAGAGGGUUCACAAAGGGUAGGGUGGUGUGGAGCAAGGCAGGGUCCUCGCAGGCAGUGCCAAGAUUGAGCUGGGGGUGGGCAGAGUGGGCGGGGUGCGGACCCAUGGCCCUACGCAUCCUGGGCCAGGUCUCUUGUGGUGCUUCACGCUCUCGACCUGUGAGUGGUGCCUGCUAGAGCUGCCCAGAUCCCUUUUCCCUACCCCUUCUGACCCUGGACCCAGAGUGGUGGUUGCGAUCUGCUACCGUGACGUCAGCCCUCAUUCGUUCGUUCCACAAACUCCACAGCUCUGGUCCAUUAGAGGAAGGAGGUCCCAGAAUAGCUGGGAAAUUACGAGAACAGCCUCACUGCACGAGUUGGUGAAUGCUGUGAUGGCGAUUGUAUGAUGGACGGUGAUGUUGAAACCAGACUGGGGAAUGACCGCCCCAUCCGGAGAGGCUGGAUUGCAGUGUCAUUGAUCAUAGCUCAAGCGGUCUUCCUGCCUCAGCCUCCCAAAGUGCUGUGAUUACAGGUGUGAGCCACUGCACCUGGCCUCUUCAUAUCUUACAACGGUAAGACUAGCGGGUUCAGGAGCC